GGGCAGCUGUUUUCUCAAGAGCACAGAGUCCUCUGUGCUCCUAAGCCGUUUUCGAUGAUGGGACUUCCAAAUCGACGAUUGGCUACGCUAAACUUGACCUAGUAUAUUUGAAGUAUGUAUAAAAUAAAUUUUGUGAUUUUUCGAUAUCGUUUACUUAGUGAUCGAAAGGGUUCAAAAUCAACGGCUGAAAAUAAAAAUCUCAUAAAAAGUGGUGAUAUGGUACUAAAAUAUUUGAUCAGAGAUAUUGAACUUGCUGUAGAUAGUAAAAAGAAUUUUCUAUCAGAAUUUAAUCUGAUUUGGAUACUUCUACGCCGUUAAACUUGAAACGACAGAUAUCAACCAUUAAAAAUUAUUGAUUUUAAAUCUUUUCGAUCACUAAUUAAACGAUAUCGAAAAAUCGCAAAAUUUAUUUUCUAGAUACUUCAAAUAUG
RNAcentral lists this long non-coding RNA (431 nucleotides) under Ananas comosus (pineapple). RNAcentral's name for it is "long non-coding RNA (ACOM_LNC038491)". Lineage: Eukaryota; Viridiplantae; Streptophyta; Magnoliopsida; Poales; Bromeliaceae. The record is from RNAcentral.